Molecule: ribosomal RNA, 494 nt
Filed under: uncultured bacterium
Lineage: Bacteria
Description: partial 16S ribosomal RNA
Rfam family: Bacterial small subunit ribosomal RNA
Source: RNAcentral
GACGAACGCUGGCGGCGUGCUUAACACAUGCAAGUCGAACGGAAAGGCCUGCUUUCCCUUGUGGAUUGCGGGUACUCGAGUGGCGAACGGGUGAGUAACACGUGAGUGAUCUGCCCCCAACUUGGGUAUAAGCCUGGGAAACUGGGUCUAAUUCCCGAUAGGACUGCAGGGUGGUGCCUGUGGUGGAAAACGAUUUUCUAGUGGUUGGGGAUGAGCUCGCGGCCUAUCAGCGUGUUGGUGGGGUAAUGGCCUACCAAGGCGGCGACGGGUAGCCGGCCUGAGAGGGAGGACGGCCACAUUGGGACUGAGAUACGGCCCAGACUCCUACGGGAGGCAGCAGUGGGGAAUAUGGCACAAUGGGCGGAAGCCUGAUGCAGCGACGCCGCGUGGGGGAUGACGGCCUUCGGGUUGUAAACUCCUUUCGACCGCGAGGAAGCCACCUGGUUGGAAGGGUGGUGACGGUAGUGGUAGAAGAAGCACCGGCUAACUACGUG